Molecule: long non-coding RNA, 1261 nt
Organism: Brienomyrus brachyistius
Lineage: Eukaryota; Metazoa; Chordata; Actinopteri; Osteoglossiformes; Mormyridae
Exons: 4
Source: RefSeq, a predicted model, not a curated record
GACCUUGGUGUGUAUGUUGAUGCUUCCAUGUCCCAUUCUCGCCAGUGUGGGGUAGCAAUAAAAAAGGCCAAUAGGAUGUUGGGGUAUAUCUCCAGGUGUGUGGAGUUUAAGUCAAGGGAGGUAAUGCUAAGAUUAUACAAUUCCUUGGUGAGACCUCACCUAGAAUAUUGUGUGCAGGUUUGGUCACCAUAUCUUAAAAAGGACAUUGUGGCCUUAGAAAAGGUGCAGCGUAGGGCCACAAAAAUGAUUCCUGGUCUUAGAGGAAUGUCAUACGAGGAACGGUUACUUGAGCUAAAUCUGUUCAGUCUCAAGCAAAGGAGAUUGAGGGGGGACAUGAUCCAGGUAUAUAAGAUUCUAACAGGUUUGGAUGCUGUUCAACCAAAUAGUUACUUCAGCAUUAGUUUAAAUACACGAACUCGUGGCUAUAGGUGGAAAUUAGCGGGAGAACACUUCAAGCUGGAUUUAAGGAAGCACUUCUUUACACAGCGUGUAGUCGGAGUAUGGAAUAGCCUUCCUGAUAAUGUAGUGCAAGCUGAAUCCUUGGGUUCCUUUAAAUCAGAGCUAGAUAAGAUUUUAACGACUCUGAGCUAUUAGUUUAGUUCUCCCCAAGUGAGCUUGAUGGGCCGAAUGGCCUCCUCUCGUUUGUAUAGUUCUUAUGUUCUUAUGAUACUGAUAAUCAGAUGUAACUUGCAGAUUCUGAUUUUCUCUUGAAUUUUUAUAUUCAUAAACAUCAAUAUCUGAGGAUGGAUGAAUGGUGUGAGAAUGGCAAAAAAAGAGGAAGAUAUAAGAGAUUCUUGGAGGAGGAUGAUUCGCGAGUACCGAUAAAGACUAAAUACAGACGCAAGGUGACAAAGGUACAACAGACUAACAAGACCCAUUAUAAGUCAUAUAUUGAAUCCGGAAUCCCUAUUCCUAGGAAAAGUGCUUACAGGAAAAAACAAAGCAACCGCUCAGUUGAGCAUUCUGAAACAGCUAAUGAAUCUGAGCAAGAAGGUGUGGGAUUUCUUGGACAAGAGACAAAGCAACUGAAGGUAAAUAAAAUACAUUUAAGAUAAGUAGAUAUUCUGCAUGAAUGGAAACAUAUAAUAGUCUGACUGUACAUUUUAAGAUUUCAGAUGAAUUAUUUGAAGCCCAUGGCCCUGAUGUACAUGAUGAAAAUCAAACAGAUGUCGUACAGUUACAGGAAGAAAAAUGCACAUUAGUAAGUGUCACGAUCGGGUAUAAGCAGGUAGGCGAUCGUGCAGGCAAGGCGUGCAAGGAG